AUUCGACCUCAAAUCAGGUAGGACUACCCGCUGAACUUAAGCAUAUCAAUAAGCGGGAAGGA
RNAcentral lists this ribosomal RNA (62 nucleotides) under Lodderomyces parapsilosis. Its description in RNAcentral is "Candida parapsilosis partial 28S ribosomal RNA". Lineage: Eukaryota; Fungi; Ascomycota; Pichiomycetes; Serinales; Debaryomycetaceae. The record is from RNAcentral.